RNAcentral lists this ribosomal RNA (333 nucleotides) under uncultured soil bacterium. RNAcentral's name for it is "bacterial SSU rRNA". It matches the Rfam family "Bacterial small subunit ribosomal RNA", at positions 26 to 363 of the family's 1533-position model. The record is from RNAcentral.
AGAUUGAACGCUAGCGGGAUGCUUUACACAUGCAAGUCGAACGGCAGCGCGGACUUCGGUCUGGCGGCGAGUGGCGAACGGGUGAGUAAUAUAUCGGAACGUGCCCAGUAGCGGGGGAUAACUACGCGAAAGCGUGGCUAAUACCGCAUACGCCCUACGGGGGAAAGGGGGGAUCGCAAGACCUCUCACUAUUGGAGCGGCCGAUAUCAGAUUAGCUAGUUGGUGAGGUAAAGGCUCACCAAGGCGACGAUCUGUAGCUGGUUUGAGAGGACGACCAGCCACACUGGGACUGAGACACGGCCCAGACUCCUACGGGAGCAGCAGUGGGAAUUU